Molecule: ribosomal RNA, 419 nt
Filed under: uncultured archaeon
Lineage: Archaea
Description: bacterial SSU rRNA
Rfam family: Archaeal small subunit ribosomal RNA
Source: RNAcentral
ACUGUCGAGGCUUGGGAUCGGGAGAGGUAUGAGGUACUUCAGGGGUAGGGUAAAAUCCUGUAAUCCUUGGAGGACCACCGGUGGCGAAGGCGUCAUACUAGAACGAAUCCGACGGUGAGGGACGAAGCCCUAGGUCGCAAACGGGAUUAGAUACCCCGGUAGUCUAGGGUGUAAAACGCUGCAGACUAGGUGUUGGAGGCCCUACGGGGGCACCCAGUGCCCGAGAGAAGUUGUUAAGUCUGCUACUUGGGGGAGUACGUCCGCAAGGAUGAAACUUAAAGGAAUUGGCGGGGGAGCACCGCAAACGGGGAGGAGCGUGCGGUUUAAUUGGAUUCAACACCGGAAAACUCACCAAGGGAGACCAUCACAUGAAAGCCAGGCUAAUGACUUUGCUUGAUUCUUGGAGGAGUGGUGCAUGG